RNAcentral lists this unclassified non-coding RNA (380 nucleotides) under uncultured bacterium. RNAcentral's name for it is "contains 16S-23S intergenic spacer region". The record is from RNAcentral.
UCCGGUUUAUCACCGGCAGUCUCCACAGAGUCCUCGCCAUGACGCGUUAGUAACUGUGAACAAGGGUUGCGCUCGUUGCGGGACUUAACCCAACAUCUCACGACACGAGCUGACGACAGCCAUGCAGCACCUCUACAGCGACCUCCGAAGAGGGGACCUCAUCUCUGAGGCUUUCCGCUGCAGUUCAAACCCAGGUAAGGUUCUGCGCGUUGCUUCGAAUUAAAGAACAUGCUCCGCUGCUUGUGCGGGCCCCCGUCAAUUCUUUUGAGUUUUAGCCUUGCGGCCGUACUCCCCAGGCGGAACACUUAUCGCGUUGGCUGCGGCACAGAAGGGGUCGAUUCCUCUUACAGCAAACGUGCACCGUUUACAGCUAGGACUAC